This is a non-coding RNA of Zootermopsis nevadensis, 556 nucleotides long. Lineage: Eukaryota; Metazoa; Arthropoda; Insecta; Blattodea; Termopsidae. The record is from RefSeq and is a predicted model, not a curated record.
UUUCCGUGCGACCUGAAUUUUGGACCUGGAUUCCUCCCUCACUGAUCACCACUUAAAAUGGCUUAAUACUGUGACAAAAUGCACUGUAGACCAGGGAGAUCGGCAGUUACUUCUAUUCAGGGGGACCCAAGUGAUCGCGGACUGGGAACUUCCUGGGAAAAAACUACAAUUCAGCAAUUGUCGAAAUGUUUAUUUAACAACGCCUUUCAACUUUAUAUGGUAGGAUAAAUAUAUGAGCGAUGAAUCGGGAAGGACUUGGAAGGAAGCGAUUGUGGUCAACUUUCUCAGCAUUUGUCUGCAAGGACCAAUAAACACAAAGAAACAUGUCAGUCAAGAUAACCAGUGACCACGGCGAGAUUCGAACCCGACCCUCCACAAAACGAAGCAAAAAUUCUGAACACUGUGAACACUGGAAUUAAAUCCUAUAAUUUGGACAUUUAUAAGUAGAUUGUAUGUAUUAGGCUACUUUUGUAAAACGUUGUGGCUGACAAUAUAGUUCCUCAACCAACAUCAUCUCUUAUGUUUUCGAAGAAUAAAUUGACAAAAUCAACACGGA